Molecule: transfer RNA, 83 nt
Filed under: Cyanobacteria bacterium FACHB-472
Lineage: Bacteria; Bacillati; Cyanobacteriota
Also listed under: 2 other names
Description: tRNA-Tyr
Rfam family: tRNA
About the family: Transfer RNA (tRNA) molecules are approximately 80 nucleotides in length. Their secondary structure includes four short double-helical elements and three loops (D, anti-codon, and T loops). Further hydrogen bonds mediate the characteristic L-shaped molecular structure. tRNAs have two regions of fundamental functional importance: the anti-codon, which is responsible for specific mRNA codon recognition, and the 3' end, to which the tRNAs corresponding amino acid is attached (by aminoacyl-tRNA synthetases). tRNAs cope with the degeneracy of the genetic code in two manners: having more than one tRNA (with a specific anti-codon) for a particular amino acid; and 'wobble' base-pairing, i.e. permitting non-standard base-pairing at the 3rd anti-codon position.
Source: RNAcentral
GGGUUGUGUCGCCUACCGGAGUAGGCAACUGUCUGUAAAACAGUGGCUUUGAUGCAAUGCAGGUUCGACUCCUGCCCAACCCA